GUGGGGAAUAUUCCGCAAUGGACGAAAGUCUGACGGAGCAACGCCGCGUGAGUGAUGAAGGUUUUCGGACUGUAAAGCUCUGUUGUUUAGGACGAAAGUGCCUGUUGCGAACAGUUACAGGUAUUGACGGUACUAAACGAGGAAGCCACGGCUAACUACGUGCCAGCAGCCGCGGUAAUACGUAGGUGGCAAGCGGUGUCCGGAAUUUUUGGGCGUAAAGAGCAUGUAGGCGGAGAUUUAAGUCUGUUGUGAAAAUGCGGGGCUCAACCCCGUAUUGCGAUGGAAACUGAAUUUCUUGAGUUCAGGAGAGGAAAGGGGAAUUCCCAGUGUAGCGGUGAAAUGCGUAGAUAUUGGGAGGAACACCAGUGGCGAAGGCGCCUUUCUGGACUGUGUCUGACGCUGAGAUGCGAAAGCCAGGGUAGCGAACGGGAUUAGAAACCCGUGUAGUCC
This 450-nucleotide ribosomal RNA is filed under the name uncultured bacterium. Its description in RNAcentral is "partial 16S ribosomal RNA". It matches the Rfam family "Bacterial small subunit ribosomal RNA", at positions 354 to 796 of the family's 1533-position model. The record is from RNAcentral.